CAACUGUGUGAAUUAAUGUGAACUGCAUACUGCUUUGAGCAUCGACAUCUUGAACGCAUAUUGCGGCCAUGGGUUAGCCUGUGGCCACGCCUGUCCGAGGGUCGGCUUAUAAACUAUCGCGACGCCCAUAAAGUCGUGGUUUGGGUCUUACCAGCUGGCGUGAUUUCCCCACUGUACUGAUUUGUUCAAUUGGACAUUGAUGGAUGGUUGGGGUGCCGGAUCUAUGGUUUUUCCCUAAUGUGUCCG
Molecule: ribosomal RNA, 246 nt
Filed under: Microphallidae sp. 3LF-1471
Lineage: Eukaryota; Metazoa; Platyhelminthes; Trematoda; Plagiorchiida; Microphallidae
Also listed under: 3 other names
Description: partial 5.8S ribosomal RNA
Rfam family: 5.8S ribosomal RNA (bases 1-104)
Source: RNAcentral